Molecule: ribosomal RNA, 263 nt
Filed under: uncultured Oscillospiraceae bacterium
Lineage: Bacteria; Bacillati; Bacillota; Clostridia; Eubacteriales; Oscillospiraceae
Description: partial 16S ribosomal RNA
Rfam family: Bacterial small subunit ribosomal RNA
Source: RNAcentral
UCAAUGGAAGGGGAGGACAGUGGCGGACGGGUGAGUAAUGCAUGAGCAACCUGCCUCGGAGUGGGGGACAACAGUUGGAAACGACUGCUAAUACCGCAUGAUGUUACCGGAGGGCAUCCUUUGGUAACCAAAGAUUUAUCGCUCUGAGAUGGGCUCAUGUCUGAUUAGAUAGUUGGCGGGGUAACGGCCCACCAAGUCUGCGAUCAGUAGCCGGACUGAGAGGUUGAACGGCCACAUUGGGACUGAGAUACGGCCCAGACUCC